This 372-nucleotide ribosomal RNA is filed under the name uncultured organism. RNAcentral's name for it is "bacterial SSU rRNA". It matches the Rfam family "Bacterial small subunit ribosomal RNA", at positions 526 to 896 of the family's 1533-position model. The record is from RNAcentral.
CGUAGGGUGCGAGCGUUAAUCGGAAUUACUGGGCGUAAAGCGUGCGCAGGCGGUUUGGUAAGACAGGCGUGAAAUCCCCGGGCUUAACCUGGGAACUGCGUUUGUGACUGCCAGGCUAGAGUACGGCAGAGGGGGGUGGAAUUCCACGUGUAGCAGUGAAAUGCGUAGAGAUGUGGAGGAACACCAAUGGCGAAGGCAGCCCCCUGGGUCGAUACUGACGCUCAUGCACGAAAGCGUGGGUAGCAAACAGGAUUAGAUACCCUGGUAGUCCACGCCCUAAACGAUGUCAACUAGGUGUUGGGAGGGUAAAACCUUUUAGUACCGUAGCUAACGCGAGAAGUUGACCGCCUGGGGAGUACGGCCGCAAGGUUA